This 484-nucleotide ribosomal RNA is filed under the name uncultured bacterium. RNAcentral's name for it is "partial 16S ribosomal RNA". It matches the Rfam family "Bacterial small subunit ribosomal RNA", at positions 29 to 507 of the family's 1533-position model. The record is from RNAcentral.
AUUGAACGCUGGCGGCAUGCUUUACACAUGCAAGUCGAACGGCAGCGCGGGCUUCGGCCUGGCGGCGAGUGGCGAACGGGUGAGUAAUACAUCGGAACGUGCCCAGUAGUGGGGGAUAGCUCGGCGAAAGCCGGAUUAAUACCGCAUACGACCUGAGGGUGAAAGCGGGGGAUCUUCGGACCUCGCGCUAUUGGAGCGGCCGAUGGCAGAUUAGCUAGUUGGUGGGGUAAAGGCCUACCAAGGCGACGAUCUGUAGCUGGUCUGAGAGGACGACCAGCCACACUGGGACUGAGACACGGCCCAGACUCCUACGGGAGGCAGCAGUGGGGAAUUUUCGACAAAGGGCGAAAGCCUGAUCCAGCAAUGCCGCGUGUGUGAUGAAGGCCUUCGGGUUGUAAAGCACUUUUGGCGGGAACGAAAAGGACUGUGCCAAUACCACGGUUCGAUGACGGUACCCGCAGAAUAAGCACCGGCUAACUACGUG